CCUACGGGGGGCAGCAGUGAGGAAUAUUGGUCAAUGGCCGGAAGGCUGAACCAGCCAUGCCGCGUGAAGGUCAGUGCCCUAUGGGCGUUAAACUUCUUUUGUGCGGGAGCAAUAAUGGUCACGUGUGGCCAGACGAGAGUACCGUACGAAUAAGCAUCGGCUAACUCCGUGCCAGCAGCCGCGGGAAUACGGGGGAUGCAAGCGUUAUCCGGAUUUAUUGGGUUUAAAGGGUGCGUAGGCUGUGAGGUAAGUCAGCGGUGAAAUGCCCCCGCUCAACGGGGUGAAGUGCCAUUGAUACUGCCUGGCUGGAAUGCGGAUGCGGUGGGAGGAAUGUGUGGUGUAGCGGUGAAAUGCAUAGAUAUCACACAGAACACCGAUUGCGAAGGCAUCUCACGAAUCCGCGAUUGACGCUGAUGCACGAAAGCGUGGGUAUCAAACAGGAUUAGAUACCCCGGUAGUC
Molecule: ribosomal RNA, 460 nt
Filed under: uncultured bacterium
Lineage: Bacteria
Description: partial 16S ribosomal RNA
Rfam family: Bacterial small subunit ribosomal RNA
Source: RNAcentral